This 2367-nucleotide ribosomal RNA is filed under the name Themira biloba. Its description in RNAcentral is "eukaryotic LSU rRNA". It matches the Rfam family "Eukaryotic large subunit ribosomal RNA", at positions 1018 to 2953 of the family's 3401-position model. The record is from RNAcentral. Lineage: Eukaryota; Metazoa; Arthropoda; Insecta; Diptera; Sepsidae.
AAUGUAGUCAAUCGAAAGUAAAGUGCUUAUUGUUUUCAUUGUUCAUGUCAAAUUCAGAAGCAGUUGGGGUGACAGUUGGGGUGACAGUUGGGUCGGCAGUUGGGUCUGAUGCGCCUACCCAACACCCUUUGAGCUAAUGCCUGCGACUGAUCACCGCCUCUGACAACGCCAGUAUUGUCAUUCUUUUGAUUGGUUUUGUGACCUCACCUUACUUGAUAUAAGGUUGUGGUUAUGAUAUAAUGUGCCCAGUGGGCCACUUUUGGUAAGCAGAACUGGCGCUGGGGAUGAACCAAACGUAAUGUUUACGUGCCCAAAUUAACAACUCAUGCAGAUACCAUAAAGGCGUUGUUGCUUAAAACAGCGGGACGGUGGACAUGGAAGUCGUAAUCCGCUAAGGAGUGUGUAACAACUACACCUGCCGAAGCAACUAGCCCUUAAAAUGGAUGGCGCUUAAGUUUAUACCUAUACAUUACCGCUAAAGUAAAUGAUUUAUAUUCAAUUUCGGUUGAAUAAAAUUUUAAAACUUUAGUGAGUAGGAGGGUACAAAUGGUGUGCACAGAAGUGUUUGGCGUAAGCCUGCAUGGAGCCGCCAUUGGUACAGAUCUUGUGGUAGUAGCAAAUAAUCGAAUGAGACCUUGGAGGACUGAAGUGGAGAAGGGUUUCGUGUGAACAGUGGUUGAUCACGAGUUAGUCGGUCCUAAGUUUAAGGCGAAAGCCGAAAAUUUUCAUGUUUAUUAUGAUAAUAAAAUAAUAUUAUUAUUGUAAAUUAACGAACAUGAUUAUUUUUGAACGAAAGGGAAUACGGUUCCAAUUCCGUAACCUGUUGAGUAUCCGUUUGUUAUUAAAUAUGGGCCUUGUGCUCAUCCUAGGCAACAGGAAACGACCAUAAAGAAGCCGUCGAGAGGUAUCGGAAGAGUUUUCUUUUCUGUUUUAUAGUCGUACUACCAUGGAAGUCUUUCGAAGAGAGAUAUGGUAGAUGGGCUAGAAGAGCAUGACAUUUACUGUUGUGUCGAUAUUUUUCUCCUCGGACCUUGUAAAAUUUAUGGUGGGGUCACGCAAACUCUCAACAGGCCGUACCGAUAUCCGCAGCUGGUACUCCAAGGUGUAAGAGUCUCUAGUCGAUAGAAUAAUGUAGUAAGGGAGUCGUCAAAUUAGAUCCGAACUUCGGGGAUAAAGAUUGGCUCUGAGAUUGAGAUAGUCGGGCUUGAUUUGAAGCAAUAUCAUGGUCUAUAUACUCAUUCUGGGUAAAUAGAGAUUCUUGAAUCUUGUUCCCCGGAUAGUAGUUAUGUAGCUAUUGUGGAAAUUCUAGCUAAUAUUAAUUUGAGUGUUGAAUUGCAAAAUUUUUCAUUCAUUUGAAUCCGACGUCUAAUUAAAACAAAGCAUUGGAUGGCCUAACGGGUGUUGUACACAAUAGUGAUUUCUGCCCACGUGCUCUGAAUGUCAAAGUGAAGAAAUUCAAGUAAGCGCGGGUAAACGGCGGGAUAACUAUGACUCUACGUUAAGGUACUAACUAUGACUCUCUAAGGGUGCCAAAUGCCCCGUCACCUAAUUGUGACGCGCAUGAAUGGAUUAACGAGACUUCCCUCUGUUCCCUAUCUACUAAUCUAGCGAAACCACAGCCAAAGGGAACGGGCUUGGAAUAAUUAGCGGGGAAAGAAGAAGACCCUGUUGAGCUUGACUCUAGUCUGGCAGUGUAAGGAGACAUAAGAGGUGUAGCAUAAGUGGGAGAUAUAAUUCGGUUUUACAUCAACAAUGAAUACCACUCUACUCUUAUUUUUUUCCUUACUUACUUGAUUAAGUGGAACGUGUAUCUAUGCUUAGCCAUUAUACGGAUAUAAUUUAUAUGUCUUAUGGUAUUGGGUAUUGAUGCAAGCUUCUUGAUCAAAGUACCACGAGUUUGUUAUAUAAUUGUAAACAAAUUUUUUAUGAAUUAAUAGCAUUUUCGGUGUUAUUUAUAUUUUGAAUUUGGUAUAACUCCAACACUCAGGUAUGAUCCAAUUCAAGGACAUUGCCAGGGGGGAGUUUGACUGGGCGCGGUACAUCUCUCAAAUAAAUAAACGGAGGUGUCCCAAGGCCAGCUCAGUGCGGACAGAAACCCACAUAGAGCAAAAAGGGCAAAUGCUGACUUGAUCUCGUUGUCAGACACAAAAGAGACAGCACAAAGCUCGGCCUAUCGAUAUCCCUUUUGGGUUUAAAGAGUGUUUUAACAAGAGGUGUGUCAGAAAGUUACCACAGGGAUAACUGGCUUGUGGCGGCCAAGCGUUCAUAGCGAACGUCGCUUUUUGAUCCUUCGAUGUCGGCUCUUCCUAUCAUUGUGAGCAAAAUUCACCAAGCGUUUGGAGCUAGUUACACCCAUGCAAGGGAAGU